This 21-nucleotide non-coding RNA is filed under the name Caenorhabditis elegans. Lineage: Eukaryota; Metazoa; Nematoda; Chromadorea; Rhabditida; Rhabditidae. The record is from RNAcentral.
UAGACUUGGCGUAAUCUCUUG